GCGAUAAUGGUGUAAUGGUUAGCAUGGCUGUUUUCCACACAGCCGAUCGGAGUUCGAUUCUCCGUUAUCGCA
Molecule: transfer RNA, 72 nt
Organism: Folsomia candida
Lineage: Eukaryota; Metazoa; Arthropoda; Collembola; Entomobryomorpha; Isotomidae
Rfam family: tRNA
About the family: Transfer RNA (tRNA) molecules are approximately 80 nucleotides in length. Their secondary structure includes four short double-helical elements and three loops (D, anti-codon, and T loops). Further hydrogen bonds mediate the characteristic L-shaped molecular structure. tRNAs have two regions of fundamental functional importance: the anti-codon, which is responsible for specific mRNA codon recognition, and the 3' end, to which the tRNAs corresponding amino acid is attached (by aminoacyl-tRNA synthetases). tRNAs cope with the degeneracy of the genetic code in two manners: having more than one tRNA (with a specific anti-codon) for a particular amino acid; and 'wobble' base-pairing, i.e. permitting non-standard base-pairing at the 3rd anti-codon position.
Source: Rfam